GACGAACGCUGGCGGCGUGCCUAAUACAUGCAAGUCGAGCGGACCAAACAGGAGCUUGCUCUUGUUUGGUUAGCGGCGGACGGGUGAGUAACACGUGGGUAACCUGCCCGUAAGACCGGGAUAACUCCGGGAAACCGGAGCUAAUACCGGAUAACACCGAAGACCGCAUGGUCUUUGGUUGAAAGGCGGCUUCGGCUGCCACUUACGGAUGGGCCCGCGGCGCAUUAGCUAGUUGGUGAGGUAACGGCUCACCAAGGCGACGAUGCGUAGCCGGCCUGAGAGGGUGACCGGCCACACUGGGACUGAGACACGGCCCAGACUCCUACGGGAGGCAGCAGUAGGGAAUCUUCCGCAAUGGACGAAAGGCUGACGGAGCGACGCCGCGGGAGCGAAGAAGGUCUUCGGAUCGUAAAGCUCGGUUGUUAGGGAAGAAGAAGCGCCGUUCGAACAGGGCGGCGCGGUGACGGUACCUAACGAGAAAGCCCCGGCUAACUACGUG
This 499-nucleotide ribosomal RNA is filed under the name uncultured bacterium. RNAcentral describes it as "partial 16S ribosomal RNA". It matches the Rfam family "Bacterial small subunit ribosomal RNA", at positions 28 to 507 of the family's 1533-position model. The record is from RNAcentral.